Molecule: ribosomal RNA, 499 nt
Filed under: uncultured bacterium
Lineage: Bacteria
Description: partial 16S ribosomal RNA
Rfam family: Bacterial small subunit ribosomal RNA
Source: RNAcentral
ACUCAAAGGAAUAGACGGGGGCCCGCACAAGCGGUGGAUCAUGUGGUUUAAUUCGAAGCAACGCGAAAAACCUUACCUGGGUUUGACAUCUCCGGACCGCCGUAGAGAUACGGUUUCAGUAGCAAUACUGCCGGAUGACAGGUGCUGCAUGGCUGUCGUCAGCUCGUGUGGUGACAUGUUGGGUUAAGUCCCGCAACGAGCGCAACCCUUGUCUUUAGUUGCCAGCAUUAAGUUGGGCUCUCUAAAGAGACUGCCGUGGUUAACACGGAGGAAGGUGGGGAUGACGUCAAGUCCUCAUGGCCUUUAUAUCCAGGGCGACACACGUGAUACAAUGGACGGUACAGAGGGAUGCGAAACCGCGAGGUGGAGCAAAUCUCAAAAAGCCGUUCUCAGUUCGGAUUGGAGUCUGCAACUCGACUCCAUGAAGUUGGAAUCGCUAGUAAUCGCGGAUCAGCACGCCGCGGUGAAUACGUUCCCGGGCCUUGUACACACCGCCCGU